This 508-nucleotide long non-coding RNA is filed under the name Zea mays. RNAcentral describes it as "long non-coding RNA (ZMAY_LNC003607)". The record is from RNAcentral. Lineage: Eukaryota; Viridiplantae; Streptophyta; Magnoliopsida; Poales; Poaceae.
GAUGCAAGGUAACCUAAAUGGAUUUUAAAUUUUAUUUUGGAUUGUUAAAUCUUUAUUUCUGACUACUAUUGUUUUAUGUCGUGGAUGCCCUCGUGAGGUUCUACGCCGACGCCUUCAGGAGGGAUUCACAGAGGCCAUGGUGAGGAUGGCCAGCUUGAGUCGGCUCACCAGGAGCAGCACGAGAUUCGCUACAACUAAAUGAUAGGAGGUAUUUUCUAGAAAUUACAACCCCACCUCUGUCAGGCCUUCUGUUGAGUGAAUUUGAUUUGCACACCCUCACCCUGCACGCUCUUACCGGACUGCCGCUCCUGGCACCCACUCACACGAGAUUGCUGCCCCACUCGCCAUGCCACCAUAGAUCCAGCUAGGGCGACAUCAUUGUGGGCAAUCCUGUGCGAGAGAAUGUGAAAUUGCUGUAGGAUUGAUAAUGACCAGGGGUUUCUCCGCCCACAUGCAUCAGGUUUCGCUGCCAUUUGCAGCGACUGUGUUCCAGUUCGACCGUUUGGGG